UUAGGGACUGAGUCUCACUAUGUUGUCUAGGCUGGUCUCAAACACCUGGGCUCAAGAAAUCCUCCUGCCUUGGCCUCUGAAAGUGGUGGGAUUACAGGCUUAAGCCACUGUGCCUGGCCUCAUCUUUAUUUCUUUACAACAGGAAAGAGAACAUGUAUCUAUUCCCUCCCCUACCCGCCAUCCCAUGCCCUCACCCCGCCUUGUUUGAGCUGGAGUCUCCCUUCCAGUAGUCAGCUCCAGGGUCCUGAGUUCUCUUCCUGGCACGUUUUCUGGAUAUAGCAAGAGAACCCUUACCAUUACUAAACUCAGUAAUGGUAACGGUUUCCUUGCCAUUCCCAAGUGCCCUGGCAGUCAGUAGGCUGUGACAGGCUGAGCGGAGAGCUUCUUGGGCUUGCAGCAUCUCUCCUGUCCUCCUUGUCAGGCUCCAGAGCUGGGGGUGCCCGGACUAGUACAUCAUCUAUACUGUAGUGUCUCAUCACAAACUUACAGUAUAUGAUGAUAUCCCAGCCAGGGCCCCACUGAGGGUACAGGAAGCAUGGCUUGAAAAGUACUGUGGGGGGCUGGGGGCAGAACAGAACAGGUCAGGGCUGGACACACACAGCUCCCUGCUCCCUGCUCUACGGCUCCCUCCCUGGCCAGCAUCUCCUUGAUUCUGUGGUCAGGCACAGCCCAGGUGGGUUAUGGGAAGGGGAGUGGAGCUAGGGUCUGUUGAGAUCUCAUAGGGACCCAGGGCCAGUGUUAAAACAAGCCAGAGAUGGCAUAAUGAUGCAGAAGGUUCCCUUUGGUCAGACCAACAAGCAGACAAGCAGACAGACCCAGAGAAGGUGCACUUACCUAGAGCUGGAGCUGCAGACUGAGGAGGCCUUUGGAUGCAGGGAGGAUCUGUCCCUUCCUCUUCCUUGAGCUGCUUGCCUUUUAACAUACCGGUCCCUCCUCUGGGUGGGGCACUUCUCCUGGCCCUGCCUCUUAACCCUUGCCCUGCUAGAGUCCACGAAACAAGGGUCACUGGCCCCUCUCCCUAGAAGGCCUUUUUUCCUUUUCUUUUUUUUUUUUUUUGAGACGGAGUCUCGCUGUGUCUCCCAGGCUGGAGUGCAGUGGCGUGAUCUCUGCUCACUGCAAGCUCCGCCUCCCGGGUUCACGCCAUUCUCCUGCCUCAGCCUCCCGAGUAGCUGAGACUACAGGCGCCCGCCACCACGCCCGGCUAGUUUUUUGUAUUUUUAGUAGAGAUGGGGUUUCACCGUGUUAGCCAGGAGUCUCGAUCUCCUGACCUCGUGAUCCACCCACCUCGGCCUCCCAAAGUGCUAGGAUUACAGGCUUGAGCCACCGCGCCCGGCCAGAAGGCCUUUUUUCACCACUGUCUCAUGGACCACAUUAACCCUGAGGUUCACCCUUCACUCCCAUCUCCAAGAAGCUCGUCAUCUCUCCUAGGCUGGGAAUGAGAAAGAACAGCUUCAUCCCAUCCAUCAGCAUUUAAUUGCUGGUCAGAUCCCUGGUGGAAGGUUUUUCGUUUUUGCUUUUUUUGUUUUGCAGUGGUGGUGGGCAGUGUUAGUUGAAUCUCUAUAGGGCAGGAAGGGUCCUGGCAGCUGGAUCUCCAGCAUCUGUCUGGCAGCCGAGCUCACACUACCCGUUAGCCUAAAUUUCUAUUCCCAGCCCCUGUCCCUGUGUUUAUAAUGAGCCCAAGGAGGCCAGACCUAGGCAGGCAGAGAGACUCUGCCUAGCACUGCCCUGGCAAGGUCCUCUUGAGGGUUGCUCUGCUAGGAGAUUUGAGAGCAGCUGAAUCCCCAGCUCUUGUGGGUCUGCUCUUCAAAGCUCAAAGCACAUCCAGUGAGAGCCUAACACUGUUUGGUUCUUUGCCUCUGGGGUAGGGGAGAGGCACCUCAAAGCAGGGCCUCCGCUGUUUAGAAUCCCCAUUCUGGGGGACACGCCCUUCCCUCUUCCCUAACCUAGAGAUCUGGUCUGUGUGCUGGAAGGCAGUUUAUACCCUUCCUCUGCAGGGGCAGACUAGAGCAGGAUGGAAGUGGGAGAAGAGACCCAACCUUUUCUGGGUCCUGUGGAGGUGUUC
This is a long non-coding RNA of Macaca fascicularis (crab-eating macaque), 2062 nucleotides long. NCBI's taxonomy places the organism in Eukaryota, Metazoa, Chordata, Mammalia, Primates, Cercopithecidae. The record is from Ensembl.